Molecule: transfer RNA, 75 nt
Filed under: Candidatus Omnitrophota bacterium
Lineage: Bacteria; Pseudomonadati; Candidatus Omnitrophota
Description: tRNA-His
Rfam family: tRNA
About the family: Transfer RNA (tRNA) molecules are approximately 80 nucleotides in length.
Source: RNAcentral
GUGGGCGUAGCUCAGCUCGGAUAGAGCACUUGGCUGUGGCCCAGGUUGUCGCGGGUUCAAUUCCCGUCGCCCACC